UCCGGUUGAUCCUGCCAGAGGUUACUGCUAUCGGAGUUCGAUUAAGCCAUGCGAGUCUAAAGGUUUCUUCGGAAACCUUGGCGGACUGCUCAGUAACACGUGGAUAACCUACCCUUGGGACUGGGAUAACCCCGGGAAACUGGGGAUAAUACCGGAUAGAUCAGGGAUGCUGGAAUGCGCCUUGAUCCAAAGCUCCGGCGCCCAAGGAUGGGUCUGCGGCCUAUCAGGUAGUAGUGGGUGUAACGUACCUACUAGCCAACGACGGGUACGGGUUGUGAGAGCAAGAGCCCGGAGAUGGAUUCUGAGACACGAAUCCAGGCCUUACGGGGUGCAGCAGGCGCGAAACCUUUACAAUGUGCGAAAGCAUGAUAAGGGAACUCCGAGUGCCAGUAUCUAAUACUGGCUGUCCUUGUGCCUAAAACGCACAAGAUAGCAAGGGCCGGGUGAGACCGGUGCCAGCCGCCGCGGUAACACCGGCGGCCCGAGUGGUAGCCGCUAUUAUUGGGUCUAAAGGGUCCGUAGCCGGUUCGAUAAGUCCUCUGGGAAAUCUGGUUGCUUAACAAUCAGACUGCCAAGGGAUACUGUCGAACUUGAGACCGGGAGAGGUAAGAGGUACUUCAGGGGUAGGAGUGAAAUCUUGUAAUCCCUGGGGGACCAUCUGUGGCGAAGGCGUCUUACCAGAACGGGUCUGACGGUGAGGGACGAAAGCUGGGGGCGCAAACCGGAUUAGAUACCCGGGUAGUCCCAGCCGUAAACGAUGCUCGCUAUGUGUCAGGUACGGUGUGACCGUAUCUGGUGCCGUAGGGAAGCCGUGAAGCGAGCCACCUGGGAAGUACGGUCGCAAGACUGAAACUUAAAGGAAUUGGCGGGGGAGCAC
Molecule: ribosomal RNA, 877 nt
Filed under: uncultured archaeon
Lineage: Archaea
Description: bacterial SSU rRNA
Rfam family: Archaeal small subunit ribosomal RNA
Source: RNAcentral